GGAAGGGUAUUAAGACUUGGGACUUGUAACUGUAGGAAUGCAAAGGCCUCUGUUGCUAGAGAGUAUUUUGCAUUAGUUGUCAGUAGCACUGUCUUGUGUCUGUUGUAAAACAUGAGGAUAAAGAGACCAAUUGAACAUAGAAGCAGUUGUGAUGCCCUGUGGCACAGCAGUGCUUUCUGUUUUGGGAAAUGGAAAUUUUUCAUGGACUUGGAACCACUGUCACCUCUUCUGAUGCUUAGUGUUCCAAAAAGAGGAAACAGACUGCGUAUCUUGACUUUCCUCCAGCACUCAGGGUCUCAGUGCAUAUAAAAACCCACUUGGAAGCUACUGUCAGCUGCUUAUGCAAAUAAUAAUUUUGGAGUUUUUCUUUGCUGAUACUCUGUUGAUGCUUUAAAGCCACUGUGCCUUUGUGUGUCGCUCUUGCCUGAUAACUGUAAGUGAUAAUGUGUUGCUAUGAUGCAAAGGCAUACUGUAGCCUUGGCCCAGCAAGAAUGAUAUGCACACAUGCACAUAUGUGGGUUGGAGAUGUGGUGGAAGGGUUGAUUUGGGUUUAGGGAAGAGUAAUAAACACAUCAUCAUUUAUGGA
Cyanistes caeruleus (blue tit) is the source of this 586-nucleotide long non-coding RNA. RefSeq lists it as uncharacterized. The record is from RefSeq and is a predicted model, not a curated record. Lineage: Eukaryota; Metazoa; Chordata; Aves; Passeriformes; Paridae.